This 824-nucleotide ribosomal RNA is filed under the name Citrobacter sp. RNAcentral describes it as "bacterial SSU rRNA". It matches the Rfam family "Bacterial small subunit ribosomal RNA", at positions 61 to 874 of the family's 1533-position model. The record is from RNAcentral. Lineage: Bacteria; Pseudomonadati; Pseudomonadota; Gammaproteobacteria; Enterobacterales; Enterobacteriaceae.
GUCGAACGGUAGCACAGAGGAGCUUGCUCCUUGGGUGACGAGUGGCGGACGGGUGAGUAAUGUCUGGGAAACUGCCCGAUGGAGGGGGAUAACUACUGGAAACGGUAGCUAAUACCGCAUAACGUCGCAAGACCAAAGAGGGGGACCUUCGGGCCUCUUGCCAUCGGAUGUGCCCAGAUGGGAUUAGCUAGUAGGUGGGGUAACGGCUCACCUAGGCGACGAUCCCUAGCUGGUCUGAGAGGAUGACCAGCCACACUGGAACUGAGACACGGUCCAGACUCCUACGGGAGGCAGCAGUGGGGAAUAUUGCACAAUGGGCGCAAGCCUGAUGCAGCCAUGCCGCGUGUAUGAAGAAGGCCUUCGGGUUGUAAAGUACUUUCAGCGAGGAGGAAGGUGUUGUGGUUAAUAACCGCAGCAAUUGACGUUACUCGCAGAAGAAGCACCGGCUAACUCCGUGCCAGCAGCCGCGGUAAUACGGAGGGUGCAAGCGUUAAUCGGAAUUACUGGGCGUAAAGCGCACGCAGGCGGUCUGUCAAGUCGGAUGUGAAAUCCCCGGGCUCAACCUGGGAACUGCAUCCGAAACUGGCAGGCUAGAGUCUUGUAGAGGGGGGUAGAAUUCCAGGUGUAGCGGUGAAAUGCGUAGAGAUCUGGAGGAAUACCGGUGGCGAAGGCGGCCCCCUGGACAAAGACUGACGCUCAGGUGCGAAAGCGUGNGGAGCAAACAGGAUUAGAUACCCUGGUAGUCCACGCCGUANACGAUGUCGACUUGGAGGUUGUGCCCUUGAGGCGUGGCUUCCGGAGCUAACGCGUUAAGUCGACCGCCU